GCGCGAAACCUUUACACUGCACGCCAGUGCGAUAAGGGGACUCCAAGUGCGAGGGCAUAUCGUCCUCGCUAUUCUGUACCGUAGGGUGGUACAGGACCAAGGGCUGGGCAAGACCGGUGCCAGCCGCCGCGGUAAUACCGGCAGCCCAAGUGAUGGCCACUCUUAUUGGGCCUAAAGCGUCCGUAGCCGGCCUCGCAAGUCCGUCGGGAAAUCCAGUAGCCCAACUACUGGGCGUCCGGCGGAAACUACAAGGCUUGGGACCGGAAGGCUCGAGGGGUACGUCCGGGGUAGGAGUGAAAUCCCGUAAUCCCGAACGGACCACCGAUGGCGAAAGCACCUCGAGAAGACGGCUCC
Molecule: ribosomal RNA, 354 nt
Filed under: uncultured haloarchaeon
Lineage: Archaea; Methanobacteriati; Methanobacteriota; Halobacteria; Halobacteriales; Halobacteriaceae
Description: bacterial SSU rRNA
Rfam family: Archaeal small subunit ribosomal RNA
Source: RNAcentral